Cyprinus carpio carpio is the source of this 2827-nucleotide long non-coding RNA. Lineage: Eukaryota; Metazoa; Chordata; Actinopteri; Cypriniformes; Cyprinidae. The record is from Ensembl.
UGAGGGUGAAGCUGGGGUCUCUGCCAACGAGUUCGCCUCCUGCAUUGUGGAUUACCUUGAAGCACACCCCACUUACAAUGAAUUCAUCCUUUGGAGUGAUGGUUGUGGCUAUCAAAACAGAAAUCUGGUCCUGAGCAAUGCCCUCUUAAAGUUUGCUACUGAGAAAAAGAAACGUGUGACACAGAAGUACCUUGAAAGAGGUCACACACAAAUGGAAUGUGACUCUGUGCACAGUGUGAUUGAGAGGAAGUUGAGAAACCGUGACAUACAUGUUCCAGCUGAGUAUGCUGCAGUUAUUCGAGGAGCUCGUUCCAGUCCAAAACCAUACGAGGUGAAGUAUGUUGGUUACAGCUUUUUCCAAGACUUCAGCAAAGUCAACAUCUGUAAGUCAGUCCGACCUGGUAGCAAAGUUGGAGAUCCUACGGUGCAUGACCUUCAUACAUGAAACAUUAGCCAUAUCAUAUUAAAAUAUUUGGUUUCAUAAAUCUAAACAUGCUUUUGGUUCCCUCUUAUCUCUGUGACCUAUGUCCCCCGACACCCCUCCCCCCUUAUUUUCUUUAAUCUAUCUAUUAGAUACAAUGUGGAUGGCAAUAUGGAGUUUAAAUUACUACACUCUGACAACUGGCAACCCUUCACAUCCCCAUCCCUGAGGAAGACGUGUGUCAUCGUGGCCCCACUCCAUACAUCCACCCUAAAAAUUAAAGCCCUGAAGUUCAAGCACCUUCAAGAACUGAAACCCAAGGACUUUCAUCCAUUUUACAAUGCACUUGACCAUGAGUGAUGCAGUUUCACUACCUGGAUGAAUGGGCUGUCCUGACUUACUGAUUAAUUUAUUAAUUAAAUGUUCUAUUUAUUGUGUAUUGUAAUGUAAUUGUUUAUGUGCAUGUUUUAAAAUGACUUGGUCUUAUCUGUUGAAAAUCUUGCAUUAAAGGGAUAGUUCACACAAAAAUGAAAAUUCUGCCGUCAUUUACUCACCCUCAAGUUGUUUCAAACCUGUAUGAAUUUCUUUUUUCUGAAAAGAAAAGAUAUUUUGAAAAUUGUCUGUAACCAAACAGUUGACGGACCCCAUUGACUUCCAUAGUAAUUUUUUUUUUCCUACUAUGGAAGUUAGUGGGGUCCAUCAACUGUUUGGUUACAGACAUUUUUCAAAAUAUCUUAUUUUGUGUUCAGCAGAAAAAAGAAAUUCAUACAGGUUUGAAACAACUUGAGGGUGAGUAAAUUAUGACAGAAUUUUCAUUUUUGGGUGAACUAUCCCUUUAAGGCCUGUUGCUAUUUUAUAAUUCCACCUGUAAUGUCAGUAUUGAGUCUGAUUAGUUGGUAUUGCUUGAAUCACCUGAAGAAUAAACAUGAACUGGUAACUGGAGUUUACUGGAACUGCAUCUUCAUUUUCACUUUUCUUUUCUGCAAUACAUUGCCAAAUAAACAUAGCCUGGUGAGACAAUGACUUUCCUUCAUAGAGGUAAAUGUUUCCCCCCUGACGCCAGACGUACGUCUAGGAGUGACAAAAUUACGGUAAGACUGUGCAAACAAAGUAUCUGUCUAGCAUUACCAUGUCAGUGUAUUGAUUCAUUGUCCCUUCAUAGUUUGCAAGAGACAUUUAAUAAAUUUAUAAUUAAUAUUAAAUAAACUAAGCGUAUUUAAUAAACUAAGACGUAGGCUAUUUAAUAAACUGAGCGUAUUCAUCUGUCAAUAUGAAACGCGACUUGGCCAUUCUAAUUAAUGAUCGGAAGAACGUGUAUCGACCACCGUUACUGUAAAAUAUGCACGUAUGUCCAUUUAAACUCAAUUUUGGUCAAAUGUGGAUUAUAUCAUUACACUGGCAAGAAUAUGGUUACAUGUAAAGAUGCCGUACCAAGUAUGACAACGCUACAUUCAACUGCUUUUGAAAUACGGUGUUUUUUUCACUUCCUGAAAAGUAACCGUUUUGGACAUACGUGAGUUUCAUCGGGCAGUGACGUUAUGUUAAAUGAUAGAGGUAGAAUUAGGGUUCUAGCAGCAACUUAAAGAGCAUAUACACAGAUACAUAAACAUUCUUUAGACUAGACUCCUGUGCACACUUGAUAGAACUCCAUCUAACUGCCAGAAACCAAAGAGGAAACCUAGAACAAGAAACGUUGCGUCUGAAGGUUGAAUAGAGGGUUUAUAUAUUCCUCGUGUUGAGUGCCGAUUGGCUAGAUCUAAUUGUAAUAUGUGACAUGGCAUUAAGUCUUCCUAGUAGAACUUGCGCUGACACUUCCAUUUCUUGACACUGUGGACCUUUCAGGGACAUGUUUUGCAUUGGAGUGGACUGGUCACGUAUCAAAUCAUUUUUCUGUUUCUUAGUCAGACCUAUAUUCUCAGUAAUGUGCGGUCUGUUUUGGUUCUUGUUCAAAGUUGUUCGUUGUUCCCUUUUAUGGGUAAUUUUUAUUUUCUACAACAGACAUAAAUAUCUUUAUUUUAUUUUAUUUUAUUUUAUUUUUUAAAAGGAUUACUCAUUUAGGUGAUUUGGUAUAUAGAGUAUGUAUCAGCGUUUAUAUGCCAUUUACAGGAUGGAAUUGCUUUUGUUUUUCUUCAUUCACUAGAUACAAUUUUGGGAUUACGAAUAUACAAAGCAUGUUCUAAAUAUUCUAUCACUGAAUAUAAAUGGCCUAAAUUCUGCUAUCAAACGAACCCGUAUAUUAGAAUAUUUCCACUGUAAAUCGAGUUUCUUUGCACUGAUACAAGAGAUGCAUCUAAAACAAUCUGACGUGGCACAUUUCCAGAAAAGUAUUAUAAAUUGGCAGCCUUCUCCUGCACUCUUAAUAAAACUAAGGGUGUGCUUAUCUUAGUUAACAGGAAGUUACAACUA